UAGACCUACGGGGCGCAGCAGUGAGGAAUAUUGGUCAAUGGCCGGGAGGCUGAACCAGCCAAGUCGCGUGAGGGAAGACGGCCCUACGGGUUGUAAACCUCUUUUGUCAGGGAGCAAGGUGCAGGUCGGGACCUGCUGUGAGAGUACCUGAAGAAAAAGCAUCGGCUAACUCCGUGCCAGCAGCCGCGGUAAUACGGAGGAUGCGAGCGUUAUCCAGAUUUAUUGGGUUUAAAGGGUGCGUAGGCGGGCUUUUAAGUCAGCGGUAAAAAUUCGGGGCUCAACCCCGUCCGGCCGUUGAAACUGGG
RNAcentral lists this ribosomal RNA (305 nucleotides) under uncultured bacterium. Its description in RNAcentral is "bacterial SSU rRNA". It matches the Rfam family "Bacterial small subunit ribosomal RNA", at positions 334 to 637 of the family's 1533-position model. The record is from RNAcentral.